RNAcentral lists this long non-coding RNA (711 nucleotides) under Anas platyrhynchos platyrhynchos (common mallard). Its description in RNAcentral is "lncRNA (ENSAPLG00000026514.1)". Lineage: Eukaryota; Metazoa; Chordata; Aves; Anseriformes; Anatidae. The record is from RNAcentral.
GGAAAGCACCGAAGAGCUGUGAACCUGACCCAAGCACAUCUCCCCUCCAGGCUCCUUGCAGCAAGAAGCCCUGCUCCAGUCUGUGCCAGGAAAAGACAGCUACGGGGAUGUAACCUCAGGCUUCAACAUCCUCUGGCAUUUUGCUUCCAGAACUCCUACGUUUGUUCAGGUCUCCCUACGUUAGAUCACAUCCCUGAACUGGAUCACAGACUGGUCACCCAAGAAGAUGGACCAACACAAAAAGGACUGUGGUACAGAGAAGAGAAGUUAAAAAAAAAAAAAAAAAAAAAAAAGGCAGAGGGAUUCCUGGAUUAUUGGAAACCACAACAGCCUCAAAAGUCUCUGUAACAUGAAACUGCAGAUAAGGUUGGUCAUAGCCCGUGACGUGCAGCUGACGGCUGAGCCCAUGGGAGAAGAGCCUCCCAGCAGCAUUGUGCAAGGGGCUGAUACCGCGUCCUCCUAAAUCUUGGAGGGCUGAAGCUUAUUUGUACAACAAACAAGGCUUGACUGGAGUUUACCGUGCAGAAUUGUGCCUCUGUAACACAGUUCAGCUGUGUGUAUAUUUCAUAGCAAAGAAAAUAUAGUGAUGACUUCCACUAGGUUUCUUCAUCAGUGGCCAUUGCAUUAAUGCUAAAUGUUUGUGUGACUUGUUUGGGUUAAAAGAAGUGCAUUGGACAGGAUUCUGAAUAAAUGUAAAUUAGAAGUGACUCA